RNAcentral lists this ribosomal RNA (253 nucleotides) under uncultured bacterium. Its description in RNAcentral is "partial 16S ribosomal RNA". It matches the Rfam family "Bacterial small subunit ribosomal RNA", at positions 524 to 776 of the family's 1533-position model. The record is from RNAcentral.
UACGUAGGGACCAAGCGUUGUUCGGAUUUACUGGGCGUAAAGCGUGCGCAGGCGGUUUUGUAAGUUUGUCGUGAAAGCCCCGGGCUCAACCUGGGAAUUGCGAUGAAGACUGCAAGGCUUGAAUCUGGCAGAGGGGGGUAGAAUUCCACGUGUAGCAGUGAAAUGCGUAGAGAUGUGGAGGAACACCGAUGGCGAAGGCAGCCCCCUGGGUCAAGAUUGACGCUCAUGCACGAAAGCGUGGGGAGCAAACAGG